This is a non-coding RNA of Pelobates cultripes (western spadefoot toad), 117 nucleotides long. The record is from the annotation of a GenBank genome assembly. Lineage: Eukaryota; Metazoa; Chordata; Amphibia; Anura; Pelobatidae.
GUGUUCUCCAACCCAGUCCUCAUGGACUAUCAACAGUCCAGGCUUUAUAUAUCUCCCUGUUUUAUUCCAAUGGAGAUACUGACUGUUGGUGGUCCAUGAGGACUGGGUUGGAGAACA